Pseudophryne corroboree (corroboree frog) is the source of this 103-nucleotide small nuclear RNA. The record is from RefSeq and is a predicted model, not a curated record. Lineage: Eukaryota; Metazoa; Chordata; Amphibia; Anura; Myobatrachidae.
GUGGUCGAUUCGGCAGCACAUUUACUGAAAUUGGAACAGUACAGAGAUUAGCAUGGCCCCUGCGCAAGAAUGCCACGCAAAUCGUAAAGCGUUCCAUAUUUUC